RNAcentral lists this ribosomal RNA (371 nucleotides) under Crepidotus sp. 46-307. RNAcentral describes it as "eukaryotic LSU rRNA". The stretch from base 1 to 105 matches the Rfam family "5.8S ribosomal RNA", at positions 50 to 154 of the family's 154-position model. Lineage: Eukaryota; Fungi; Basidiomycota; Agaricomycetes; Agaricales; Crepidotaceae. The record is from RNAcentral.
GAAAUGCGAUAAGUAAUGUGAAUUGCAGAAUUCAGUGAAUCAUCGAAUCUUUGAACGCACCUUGCGCCCUUUGGUAUUCCGAGGGGCAUGCCUGUUUGAGUGUCAUUAAAUUAUCAACCUUUACUGGCUUUUGCUGUGUAAAUGGAUUGGAUGUGGGGGUUUUUUUGCUGGUUUCUUUAAUUGAAAUUUGCUCCCCUUAAAUGUAUUAGCGGCUUCCCUUGUGGACUCGUCUAUUAGUGUGAUAAAAUAUAUCUACGCUGCUAGAUGUCUACGUCUUUGGGUGUUUAUGCUGAUUUCUAGUCGUCCUUUUAUUUGGRCAACAUUUUUUGAUUCUUGACCUCAAAUCAGGUAGGACUACCCGCUGAACUUAA